Long non-coding RNA from Homo sapiens (human), 412 nucleotides. Ensembl annotates it as MYCBP2 antisense RNA 1. Its record names the gene MYCBP2-AS1. Lineage: Eukaryota; Metazoa; Chordata; Mammalia; Primates; Hominidae. The record is from Ensembl.
UGGCCAGAGGACUCAUUAGCUGAUUCCGCAGGACAACCAGGAUAAUAACUGAAAUGACUGACCUGACUCAUAGCUUCAAAGCCAGACUGUAUACUGAUGCUAAAACUCUCUUCACUAUCGCCAUCAUCUGACUUUGACAAAAUAUUGUUAAUGUGAUGAAAGACGUUGCUCUGAUGAAGGAACUGGUGAUCAGAUUGCUUGAAUUUGAGACUCCAGCACCUAAAAAGGCGAUAUAUAAGCAAUAUACGAAAUAAUUAUUUUCCAGGAACAUCUAAGGAACUCUUAGAUGAGUACUCUGUAGCUAAUAUCUCAAGAAAUUUUAAUGUUCUAGUAACAGACAUUUUAAAAAUUCAGGGAAGAAAAUCAUUCCUAUUGUUUUUGUUUUUGAGAAAUAAAGGUAACUUCUUUGGAA